UAGUCUGCAAUCGACUUUAGGU
RNAcentral lists this microRNA (22 nucleotides) under Euprymna scolopes. RNAcentral's name for it is "Esc-Novel-58_5p (mature (guide))". Lineage: Eukaryota; Metazoa; Mollusca; Cephalopoda; Sepiida; Sepiolidae. The record is from RNAcentral.